This 70-nucleotide transfer RNA is filed under the name Loxodonta africana (African savanna elephant). It matches the Rfam family "tRNA". Rfam says of the family: Transfer RNA (tRNA) molecules are approximately 80 nucleotides in length. Their secondary structure includes four short double-helical elements and three loops (D, anti-codon, and T loops). Further hydrogen bonds mediate the characteristic L-shaped molecular structure. tRNAs have two regions of fundamental functional importance: the anti-codon, which is responsible for specific mRNA codon recognition, and the 3' end, to which the tRNAs corresponding amino acid is attached (by aminoacyl-tRNA synthetases). tRNAs cope with the degeneracy of the genetic code in two manners: having more than one tRNA (with a specific anti-codon) for a particular amino acid; and 'wobble' base-pairing, i.e. permitting non-standard base-pairing at the 3rd anti-codon position. Lineage: Eukaryota; Metazoa; Chordata; Mammalia; Proboscidea; Elephantidae. The record is from Rfam by way of RNAcentral.
GCAAUGGUGGUUUGGUGGUAGAAUUCUCGCCUUAGACACGAAGACCUGGGUUCGAAUCCUGGCCAAGGUA